RNAcentral lists this ribosomal RNA (429 nucleotides) under Acidobacteriota bacterium. RNAcentral's name for it is "Acidobacteria bacterium partial 16S ribosomal RNA". It matches the Rfam family "Bacterial small subunit ribosomal RNA", at positions 355 to 776 of the family's 1533-position model. Lineage: Bacteria; Pseudomonadati; Acidobacteriota. The record is from RNAcentral.
UGGGGAAUUUUGGACAAUGGGGGAAACCCUGAUCCAGCCAUCCCGCGUGUGCGAUGAAGGCCUUCGGGUUGUAAAGCACUUUUGGCAGGAAAGAAACGUCAUGGGUUAAUACCCCGUGAAACUGACGGUACCUGCAGAAUAAGCACCGGCUAACUACGUGCCAGCAGCCGCGGUAAUACGUAGGGUGCAAGCGUUAAUCGGAAUUACUGGGCGUAAAGCGUGCGCAGGCGGUUCGGAAAGAAAGAUGUGAAAUCCCAGAGCUCAACUUUGGAACUGCAUUUUUAACUACCGGGCUAGAGUAUGUCAGAGGGAGGUGGAAUUCCGCGUGUAGCAGUGAAAUGCGUAUAUAUGCGGAAGAACACCGAUGGCGAAGGCAGCCUCCUGGGAUAACACUGACGCUCAUGCACGAAAGCGUGGGGAGCAAACAGG